AUCUCCAGCUUGCUGGGGGGAUUAGUGGCGAACGGGUGAGUAACACGUGAGUAACCUGCCCUUGACUCUGGGAUAAGCCUGGGAAACUGGGUCUAAUACCGGAUACGACCGCUCCACGCAUGUGGUGGUGGUGGAAAGCUUUUGCGGUUUUGGAUGGACUCGCGGCCUAUCAGCUUGUUGGUGGGGUAAUGGCCUACCAAGGCGACGACGGGUAGCCGGCCUGAGAGGGUGACCGGCCACACUGGGACUGAGACACGGCCCAGACUCCUACGGGAGGCAGCAGUGGGGAAUAUUGCACAAUGGGCGCAAGCCUGAUGCAGCGACGCCGCGUGAGGGAUGACGGCCUUCGGGUUGUAAACCUCUUUCAGUAGGGAAGAAGCGAAAGUGACGGUACCUGCAGAAGAAGCGCCGGCUAACUACGUGCCAGCAGCCGCGGUAAUACGUAGGGCGCAAGCGUUAUCCGGAAUUAUUGGGCGUAAAGAGCUCGUAGGCGGUUUGUCGCGUCUGCUGUGAAAGACCGGGGCUCAACUCCGGUUCUGCAGUGGGUACGGGCAGACUAGAGUGAUGUAGGGGAGACUGGAAUUCCUGGUGUAGCGGUGAAAUGCGCAGAUAUCAGGAGGAACACCGAUGGCGAAGGCAGGUCUCUGGGCAUUAACUGACGCUGAGGAGCGAAAGCAUGGGGAGCGAACAGGAUUAGAUACCCUGGUAGUCCAUGCCGUAAACGUUGGGCACUAGGUGUGGGGGACAUUCCACGUUUUCCGCGCCGUAGCUAACGCAUUAAGUGCCCCGCCUGGGGAGUACGGCCGCAAGGCUAAAACUCAAAGGAAUUGACGGGGGCCCGCACAAGCGGCGGAGCAUGCGGAUUAAUUCGAUGCAACGCGAAGAACCUUACCAAGGCUUGACAUGAACCGGUAACGCCUGGAAACAGGUGCCCCGCUUGCGGUCGGGUUUACAGGUGGUGCAUGGUUGUCGUCAGCUCGUGUCGUGAGAUGUUGGGUUAAGUCCCGCAACGAGCGCAACCCCUCGUUCUAUGUUGCCAGCGCGUGAUGGCGGGGACUCAUAGGAGACUGCCGGGGUCAACUCGGAGGAAGGUGGGGACGACGUCAAAUCAUCAUGCCCCUUAUGUCUUGGGCUUCACGCAUGCUACAAUGGCCGGUACAAAGGGUUGCGAUACUGUGAGGUGGAGCUAAUCCCAAAAAGCCGGUCUCAGUUCGGAUUGGGGUCUGCAACUCGACCCCAUGAAGUCGGAGUCGCUAGUAAUCGCAGAUCAGCAACGCUGCGGUGAAUACGUUCCCGGGCCUUGUACACACCGCCCGUCAAGUCACGAAAGUUGGUAACACCCGAAGCCGGUGGC
RNAcentral lists this ribosomal RNA (1354 nucleotides) under Arthrobacter bambusae. Its description in RNAcentral is "bacterial SSU rRNA". It matches the Rfam family "Bacterial small subunit ribosomal RNA", at positions 71 to 1434 of the family's 1533-position model. The record is from RNAcentral. Lineage: Bacteria; Bacillati; Actinomycetota; Actinomycetes; Micrococcales; Micrococcaceae.